GACCGUUCUGGCCUAGUAUAAGCAAUUAUACCGCGGAAACUGCGAAUGGCUCAUUAUAUAAGUUAUCGUUUAUUUGAUAAUACUUUACUACUUGGAUAACCGUGGGAAUUCUAGAGCUAAUACAUGCUGAAAAUCCCGACUUCGGAAGGGAUGUAUUUAUUAGAUUAAAAACCAAUGCCCCUCGGGGCUCUCUGGUGAAUCAUAAUAACUAGUCGAAUCGACAGGCCUUGUGCCGGCGAUGGCUCAUUCAAAUUUCUUCCCUAUCAACUUUCGAUGUUUGGGUAUUGGCCAAACAUGGUGGCAACGGGUAACGGAGGGUUAGGGCUCGACCCCGGAGAAGGAGCCUGAGAAACGGCUACUACAUCCAAGGAAGGCAGCAGGCGCGCAAAUUACCCAAUCCCGACACGGGGAGGUAGUGACAAUAAAUACUGAUACAGGGCUCUUUUGGGUCUUGUAAUCGGAAUGAGUACAAUUUAAAUCCCUUAACGAGGAACAAUUGGAGGGCAAGUCUGGUGCCAGCAGCCGCGGUAAUUCCAGCUCCAAUAGCGUAUAUUAAAGUUGUUGUGGUUAAAAAGCUCGUAGUUGAACCUUGGGCCUGGCUGGCCG
Molecule: ribosomal RNA, 606 nt
Filed under: Trichoderma longibrachiatum
Lineage: Eukaryota; Fungi; Ascomycota; Sordariomycetes; Hypocreales; Hypocreaceae
Description: SSU rRNA
Rfam family: Eukaryotic small subunit ribosomal RNA
Source: RNAcentral